GUGAUGCCGAGGGUUGUUCGCUGUGAGAAACCAGGGAAGCCGUUUUAACACACGGACGAUCGCUUCCCAGUGAGAAGUAGCUGGUCUUCCAGCCCCCCCACGAGAGAAACAGAUAGAAGAUGGAUGGACACAAGAAGACACCCACACAAAUAGAUGACUCCUAUUCCUCAUCGUCAGAAAGUGCCCCUGAGCUGUCCUGCAAUGUGGGCCAUAUUAUCAGGAACUGGGAGGUGAAGCUACUCUCCACUGUCUUAUAAUAGUAUAAACACAACCAGUGUGUGCUUAUAAGAAAGCGUGUUUUCUGUUUGCGUUACUGUGAUUGCAUACAUGUGCUCAGCCAGUCAUGCAUCAAUUGUUAAAUAAA
This is a long non-coding RNA of Paramormyrops kingsleyae, 364 nucleotides long. RefSeq lists it as uncharacterized. NCBI's taxonomy places the organism in Eukaryota, Metazoa, Chordata, Actinopteri, Osteoglossiformes, Mormyridae. The record is from RefSeq and is a predicted model, not a curated record.